Molecule: long non-coding RNA, 814 nt
Filed under: Felis catus (domestic cat)
Lineage: Eukaryota; Metazoa; Chordata; Mammalia; Carnivora; Felidae
Description: lncRNA (ENSFCAG00000049830.1)
Source: RNAcentral
UGAAGAGAAUAAAGGAGAAUGUGCCACUUCUGAGACUGAGUCAUGGGAAGCACCACGGCCUCCAUCUUGGAUGAGAAGCAACAAGGAACAUGUAAAUGAGAGAAGGCAGAGAGGACUGUGACAAGGAGUCUGCGACUUUAACACUUUUCUCCACUGGCACAGACCGCAGUCUGACCUCAUUCCUGCCUCCCUCUUCAGACAGAGAGCUCCCAAACUGAGGACCUGUAUUUGUUCGUCUGGAGACCCUAAGCCCCUGAAAGGUAAAGACUGAGUAAGUAACUCAUUGGAAUGUUAUGGAAUCCCUGUCCCUGCUGCAGGUGACUGGCCUGCAAUGGGUGACUGAGGCCUGGGUGUGGAAAUUGUGGCUGACACUAAACUGUGCCACUCAACAAAAUUAGGAUCAGUGGAUUCAAAGCAUGGGCCAAAGCAAGCCAGAUAAAAUGUAAUGCUUCAAAACAUAAAACCGUGGACUUGAAUUGCAAAAUUCAGCUGGGAUGAAAGUGAUUUGAUGAAAGAGUAGAGCCUAUAAGCAAGAUGUGGAGGUUCUAAUUACCUUCAAACUCAGUAUGAGUCAGUAAUGUUACAUGACUGGCAAAGAACAAAAAUCAGAGUAAAAACAGGUAGUUUGAUAUAAGGCUACAUUAGGAGAAGUAUGCCAUCUAAAACAAAGGAGGUGAUAGCCCUCUUAUUUCCCUCACUGCAUCCAAGUCAAAUCUUUCCUGGGAUAUAAUGUCCAGCCCUGUGCACUAUGUCUCCUGGGACACAUGACUGAACAGAAUACCUUCAAAUAAAAGUAACCAGGAGGGUGCUUUCA